This 583-nucleotide long non-coding RNA is filed under the name Medicago truncatula (barrel medic). RNAcentral describes it as "lncRNA gene908". Lineage: Eukaryota; Viridiplantae; Streptophyta; Magnoliopsida; Fabales; Fabaceae. The record is from RNAcentral.
CCGGGGACGGGUUGGUCCAUGACCCACACAGAUCAGACUGGUCUCUAACAUAUGUGGCUCAGUUACAAAUGGGUUGGCCCGUUUAUGUAGUCGGGCAGGGCCGGACCAACCCAUUUGACACCUCUAUUGAGAAGAUAAUUUGUUUCUUCAAGUUAUAAAGUUACAAGGAUACUCGCGUAAAAUUGGAGCUUGUGACACUCUUAACGCUGAGAUGUGGGACGUUGUACUUGGGCAUGAAGCUUGCAUUGAGACAGGGUUUCCACCAUCUUCAAGUGGAAAGCGACUAAAAAAUGUUGGUUGAUAUGAUCAUUGGGACCGUCAACUUCAAGGGUAGAACACCUACUUUGGUGAACCGCAUUCAAGAGCUUUUAAAGUUAAACUGGCAGGUGCAUUUCAAUCAUACAUAGCGGGAGGGGAAUAGAAGUGCGGAUUGACUAGCUAAUUUUAGCUUUUCUCUUGAUUCUUUUCAAAUUAAUGUUAAAAAGCUUCUUCUAGUGGGAUUUCAAGUCUCCUUUUUGAUGAUAUUUCCGGGACUUGGAUGUCUAGAAGUGUUCGUGUAAACUUGGAUUUUGGCCCUCUCUCU